AAAAGCUCGUAGUUGGAUCUCAGCUCCGGCCGGACGGUCCGCCUACCGGUGGUUACUGUUCGCAGCCGAGCGUUCAGGCGGUUAUCUCUGAUGAUCUUCACCGGUUGUCUCGGGUGACCGCCAAGUUUACUUUGAAAAAAUUAGAGUGCUCAAAGCAGGCGUGACGCCUGAAUAAUUGUGCAUGGAAUAAUGGAAUAGGACCUCGGUUCUAUUUUGUUGGUUUUCGGAACACGAGGUAAUGAUUAAGAGGGACAGACGGGGGCAUUCGUAUUGCGACGCUAGAGGUGAAAUUCUUGGACCGUCGCAAGACGAACUACUGCGAAAGCAUUUGCCAAGAAUGUUUCCAUUAAUCAAGAACGAAAGUUAGAGGUUCGAAGGCGAUCAGAUACCGCCCUAGUUCUAACCAUAAACGAUGCCAGCCAGCGAUCCGGCUGUGUUCCUCAAAUGACACGCCGGGCAGCUUCCGGGAAACCAAAGCUUUUGGGUUCCGGGGGAAGUAUGGUUGCAAAGCUGAAACUUAAAGGAAUUGACGGAAGGGCACCACCAGAAAUGGAGCCUGCGGCUUAAUUUGACUCAACACGGGAAAACUUACCCGGCCCGGACACAGGAAGGAUUGACAGAUUAAGAGCUCUUUCUUGAUUCUGUGGGUGGUGGUGCAUGGCCGUUCUUAGUUGGUGGGGCGACUUGUCUGGUUAAUUCCGAUAACGAACGAGACUCUAGCCUACUAAAUAGACGUUCCCAUCAUCUUUCGUGGGACGUUCUUCUUAGAGGGACAAGCGGCGUUUAGCCGCACGAGACAGAGCAAUAACAGGUCUGGGAUGCCCUUAGAUGUCCGGGGCCGCACGCGCGCUACAUUGAAGGAAUCAGCGUGUGCUUUCCCUGUCCGAAAGGACUGGGUAACCCGUUGAACCUCCUUCGUGCUGGGGAUUGGAAACUGUAAUUGAUUCCAUGAACGAGGAAUUCCCAGUAAGCACGAGUCAUCAGCUCGUGUUGAUUACGUCCCUGCCCUUUGUCCACACCGCCCGUCGCUACUACCGAUUGAAUGAUUUAGUGAGGUCUUCGGACUGGCGCUCGGAUUGGCCUUCGCGGUCGAGCCGGUGUGCCGGAAAGAUGACCAAACUUGAUCAUUUAGAGGAAGUAAAAGUCGUAACAAGGUUUU
This 1159-nucleotide ribosomal RNA is filed under the name Cercidia prominens. RNAcentral describes it as "SSU rRNA". It matches the Rfam family "Eukaryotic small subunit ribosomal RNA", at positions 622 to 1803 of the family's 1831-position model. The record is from RNAcentral. Lineage: Eukaryota; Metazoa; Arthropoda; Arachnida; Araneae; Araneidae.